RNAcentral lists this ribosomal RNA (253 nucleotides) under uncultured bacterium. Its description in RNAcentral is "partial 16S ribosomal RNA". It matches the Rfam family "Bacterial small subunit ribosomal RNA", at positions 524 to 776 of the family's 1533-position model. The record is from RNAcentral.
UACGGAGGGAGCUAGCGUUGUUCGGAUUUACUGGGCGUAAAGGGCGCGCAGGCGGCUUAUUUUGUCAGGCGUGAAAGCCCCGGGCUUAACCUGGGAACUGCGUUUGAUACGGAUGGGCUAGAGUUCGGGAGAGGAGCGUGGAAUUCCCAGUGUAGAGGUGAAAUUCGUAGAUAUUGGGAAGAACACCGGUGGCGAAGGCGGCGCUCUGGACCGAGACUGACGCUGAGGCGCGAAAGCGUGGGGAGCAAACAGG